RNAcentral lists this ribosomal RNA (803 nucleotides) under uncultured archaeon. RNAcentral's name for it is "bacterial SSU rRNA". It matches the Rfam family "Archaeal small subunit ribosomal RNA", at positions 55 to 866 of the family's 1478-position model. The record is from RNAcentral.
GAGUUAACGUAGCAAUACGUGGCAUACGGCUCAGUAACACGUAGUCAACAUGCCCAGGGGACGUGGAUAACCUCGGGAAACUGAGGCUAAACCGCGAUAGGCCAAGAUUUCUGGAAUGGAUCAUGGCCUAAAUCUAUAUGGCCCCUGGAUUGGACUGCGGCCGAUCAGGCUGUUGGUGAGGUAAUGGCCCACCAAACCUGUAACCGGUACGGGCUCUGAGAGGAGGAGCCCGGAGAUGGGCACUUAGACAAGGGCCCAGGCCCUAUGGGGCGCAGCAGGCGCGAAACCUCUGCAAUAAGCGAAAGCUUGACAGGGUUACUCUGAGUGAUUUCCGCUAAGGAAGUCUUUUGGCACCUCUAAAAAUGGUGCAGAAUAAGGGGUGGGCAAGUCUGGUGUCAGCCGCCGCGGUAAUACCAGCACCCCGAGUGGUCGGGACGAUUAUUGGGCCUAAAGCAUCCGUAGCCGGUCCUGCAAGUCCUCCGUUAAAUCCACCCGCUCAACGGUUGGGCCGCGGGGGAUACUACAGGGCUAGGAGGCGGGAGAGGCAAGCGGUACUCGAUGGGUAGGGGUAAAAUCCACUGAUCCAUUGAAGACCACCAGUGGCGAAGGCGGCCUGCCAGAACGCGCUCGACGGUGAGGGAUGAAAGCUGGGGGAGCAAACCGGAUUAGAUACCCGGGUAGUCCCAGCUGUAAACGAUGCAGACUCGGUGAUGGGCUGGCUUCUUGCCAACCCGGUGCCGCAGGGAAGCCGUUGAGUCUGCCGCCUGGGGAAUACGGUCGCAAGACUGAAACUUAAAGGAAUU